GCCAGGUGUGGUGGCACAUGCCUGUAAUCCCAGCUACUCAGGAGGCUGAGGCAGGAGAAUCGCUUGAAUCUGGGAGGCAGAGGUUGCGGUGAACCAAGAUCGUGCCAUUGCACUCAGCCUGGGCAACAAGAGUGAAAUGCCGUUUAAAAAAAAAAAAAAAGGCUGAUUUUUUUUUUUUUUUUGAGAGGGAGUCUUGCUGUUGCCAGGCUAGAGUGCAGUGGCACAAUCUUGGCUCACCACAACCUCCCCAACCUGGAUUCAAGCGAGUCUCCUGCCUCUG
Molecule: signal recognition particle RNA, 280 nt
Filed under: Callithrix jacchus (white-tufted-ear marmoset)
Lineage: Eukaryota; Metazoa; Chordata; Mammalia; Primates; Cebidae
Description: Metazoan signal recognition particle RNA (ENSCJAG00000082784.1)
Rfam family: Metazoan signal recognition particle RNA
About the family: The signal recognition particle (SRP) is a universally conserved ribonucleoprotein.
Source: Rfam by way of RNAcentral